This 3006-nucleotide ribosomal RNA is filed under the name Salmonella enterica. RNAcentral describes it as "23S ribosomal RNA". It matches the Rfam family "Bacterial large subunit ribosomal RNA". Lineage: Bacteria; Pseudomonadati; Pseudomonadota; Gammaproteobacteria; Enterobacterales; Enterobacteriaceae. The record is from RNAcentral.
GGGUUGUGAGGUUAAGCGACUAAGCGUACACGGUGGAUGCCCUGGCAGUCAGAGGCGAUGAAGGGCGUGCUAAUCUGCGAUAAGCGCCGGUAAGGUGAUAUGAACCGUUAUAACCGGCGAUACCCGAAUGGGGAAACCCAGUGUGACUCGUCACACUAUCAUUAACUGAAUCCAUAGGUUAAUGAGGCGAACCGGGGGAACUGAAACAUCUAAGUACCCCGAGGAAAAGAAAUCAACCGAGAUUCCCCCAGUAGCGGCGAGCGAACGGGGAGGAGCCCAGAGCCUGAAUCAGCAUGUGUGUUAGUGGAAGCGUCUGGAAAGGCGCGCGAUACAGGGUGACAGCCCCGUACACAAAAGCGCAUGUGCUGUGAGCUCGAUGAGUAGGGCGGGACACGUGGUAUCCUGUCUGAAUAUGGGGGGACCAUCCUCCAAGGCUAAAUACUCCUGACUGACCGAUAGUGAACCAGUACCGUGAGGGAAAGGCGAAAAGAACCCCGGCGAGGGGAGUGAAAAAGAACCUGAAACCGUGUACGUACAAGCAGUGGGAGCACCCUUUGGGGUGUGACUGCGUACCUUUUGUAUAAUGGGUCAGCGACUUAUAUUCUGUAGCAAGGUUAACCGAAUAGGGGAGCCGGAGGGAAACCGAGUCUUAAUUGGGCGUUAAGUUGCAGGGUAUAGACCCGAAACCCGGUGAUCUAGCCAUGGGCAGGUUGAAGGUUGGGUAACACUAACUGGAGGACCGAACCGACUAAUGUUGAAAAAUUAGCGGAUGACCUGUGGCUGGGGGUGAAAGGCCAAUCAAACCGGGAGAUAGCUGGUUCUCCCCGAAAGCUAUUUAGGUAGCGCCUCGUGAAUUCAUCUCCGGGGGUAGAGCACUGUUUCGGCUAGGGGGCCAUCCCGGCUUACCAACCCGAUGCAAACUGCGAAUACCGGAGAAUGUUAUCACGGGAGACACACGGCGGGUGCUAACGUCCGUCGUGAAGAGGGAAACAACCCAGACCGCCAGCUAAGGUCCCAAAGUCAUGGUUAAGUGGGAAACGAUGUGGGAAGGCCCAGACAGCCAGGAUGUUGGCUUAGAAGCAGCCAUCAUUUAAAGAAAGCGUAAUAGCUCACUGGUCGAGUCGGCCUGCGCGGAAGAUGUAACGGGGCUAAACCAUGCACCGAAGCUGCGGCAGCGAACGUAUCACUUAAAGCGAUUCAGCGGGUUACGAUUGACGGAGCGAAGCGACGUCAAAGCGUAUACAAAGUCGAGUCGGUUUAAGGAUACGUUCGUUGGGUAGGGGAGCGUUCUGUAAGCCUGUGAAGGUGGCCUGUGAGGGUUGCUGGAGGUAUCAGAAGUGCGAAUGCUGACAUAAGUAACGAUAAAGCGGGUGAAAAGCCCGCUCGCCGGAAGACCAAGGGUUCCUGUCCAACGUUAAUCGGGGCAGGGUGAGUCGACCCCUAAGGCGAGGCCGAAAGGCGUAGUCGAUGGGAAACGGGUUAAUAUUCCCGUACUUGGUGUUACUGCGAAGGGGGGACGGAGAAGGCUAUGUUGGCCGGGCGACGGUUGUCCCGGUUUAAGCGUGUAGGCUGGUUUUCCAGGCAAAUCCGGAAAAUCAAGGCUGAGGCGUGACGACGAGGCACUACGGUGCUGAAGCAACAAAUGCCCUGCUUCCAGGAAAAGCCUCUAAGCAUCAGGUAACAUCAAAUCGUACCCCAAACCGACACAGGUGGUCAGGUAGAGAAUACCAAGGCGCUUGAGAGAACUCGGGUGAAGGAACUAGGCAAAAUGGUGCCGUAACUUCGGGAGAAGGCACGCUGACACGUAGGUGAAGUGAUUUACUCAUGGAGCUGAAGUCAGUCGAAGAUACCAGCUGGCUGCAACUGUUUAUUAAAAACACAGCACUGUGCAAACACGAAAGUGGACGUAUACGGUGUGACGCCUGCCCGGUGCCGGAAGGUUAAUUGAUGGGGUCAGCGCAAGCGAAGCUCCUGAUCGAAGCCCCGGUAAACGGCGGCCGUAACUAUAACGGUCCUAAGGUAGCGAAAUUCCUUGUCGGGUAAGUUCCGACCUGCACGAAUGGCGUAAUGAUGGCCAGGCUGUCUCCACCCGAGACUCAGUGAAAUUGAACUCGCUGUGAAGAUGCAGUGUACCCGCGGCAAGACGGAAAGACCCCGUGAACCUUUACUAUAGCUUGACACUGAACAUUGAGCCUUGAUGUGUAGGAUAGGUGGGAGGCUUUGAAGUGUGGACGCCAGUCUGCAUGGAGCCGGCCUUGAAAUACCACCCUUUAAUGUUUGAUGUUCUAACGUGGACCCGUAAUCCGGGUUGCGGACAGUGUCUGGUGGGUAGUUUGACUGGGGCGGUCUCCUCCUAAAGAGUAACGGAGGAGCACGAAGGUUGGCUAAUCCUGGUCGGACAUCAGGAGGUUAGUGCAAUGGCAUAAGCCAGCUUGACUGCGAGCGUGACGGCGCGAGCAGGUGCGAAAGCAGGUCAUAGUGAUCCGGUGGUUCUGAAUGGAAGGGCCAUCGCUCAACGGAUAAAAGGUACUCCGGGGAUAACAGGCUGAUACCGCCCAAGAGUUCAUAUCGACGGCGGUGUUUGGCACCUCGAUGUCGGCUCAUCACAUCCUGGGGCUGAAGUAGGUCCCAAGGGUAUGGCUGUUCGCCAUUUAAAGUGGUACGCGAGCUGGGUUUAGAACGUCGUGAGACAGUUCGGUCCCUAUCUGCCGUGGGCGCUGGAGAACUGAGGGGGGCUGCUCCUAGUACGAGAGGACCGGAGUGGACGCAUCACUGGUGUUCGGGUUGUCAUGCCAAUGGCACUGCCCGGUAGCUAAAUGCGGAAGAGAUAAGUGCUGAAAGCAUCUAAGCACGAAACUUGCCCCGAGAUGAGUUCUCCCUGAGACUUAGAGUCUCCUGAAGGAACGUUGAAGACGACGACGUUGAUAGGCCGGGUGUGUAAGCGCAGCGAUGCGUUGAGCUAACCGGUACUAAUGAACCGUGAGGCUUAACCUUACAACGCCGAAG